This 460-nucleotide ribosomal RNA is filed under the name uncultured bacterium. RNAcentral's name for it is "partial 16S ribosomal RNA". It matches the Rfam family "Bacterial small subunit ribosomal RNA", at positions 338 to 795 of the family's 1533-position model. The record is from RNAcentral.
CCUACGGGAGGCAGCAGUGAGGAAUAUUGGUCAAUGGACGAGAGUCUGAACCAGCCAAGUAGCGUGAAGGAUGACUGCCCUAUGGGUUGUAAACUUCUUUUAUAUGGGAAUAAAAUGUUCCACGUGUGGGCUUUUGUAUGUACCAUAUGAAUAAGGAUCGGCUAACUCCGUGCCAGCAGCCGCGGUAAUACGGAGGAUCCGAGCGUUAUCCGGAUUUAUUGGGUUUAAAGGGAGCGUAGGUGGAUUGUUAAGUCAGAUGUGAAAGUUUGCGGCUCAACCGUAAAAUUGCAGUUAAAACUGGUAGUCUAGAGUACAGUAGAGGUGGGCGGAAUGCGUGGUGUAGCGGUGAAAUGCUUAGAGAUCAUGAAGAACUCCGAUUGCGAAGGCAGCUCACUGGACUGCAACUGACACUGAGGCUCGAAAGUGUGGGUAGCAAACAGGAUUAGAUACCCCUGUAGUC